AUGUACAGAACUAGGAAAGUACGUGCCGUACACCGGAAGAGCAGAUGGUGGCGCUGGCACGGUGGCGCGUGGCCGGCUGCAAGACCUUGUCGGACGUGUGCUGUGUGCAAGACCCUUUGGCAUAUCGUUGGGCCGAUGAUACUGACCGGGAUCUUUCAGUUCCUCAUCGGCUUCGUCACCGUCGCCUUCGCUAGCCACAUCGGCAAGGUCGAGCACACGGCCAUCUUCAUUGUCAACAGCAUCGUCGAAGGCCUCGUCUUUGGGUUCCUCGUGUUCCGCAUGGAGUUGACUAUUGUCAUCGGAGAUCUCGGUGGUGGCGGGGUGGUACGUGCGCUCAUGUCACUCAUCUCCGGCGGCGGCUGCACCUAA
Molecule: ribosomal RNA, 369 nt
Filed under: Triticum aestivum (bread wheat)
Lineage: Eukaryota; Viridiplantae; Streptophyta; Magnoliopsida; Poales; Poaceae
Description: partial small subunit ribosomal RNA
Source: RNAcentral